Molecule: long non-coding RNA, 4060 nt
Filed under: Olea europaea (common olive)
Lineage: Eukaryota; Viridiplantae; Streptophyta; Magnoliopsida; Lamiales; Oleaceae
Description: long non-coding RNA (OEUR_LNC001309)
Source: RNAcentral
GAGGGUGGAACUCGAUAGUACUCUUUGGUUUCAAGAGUUCAAUCAUCUUUAUGUUCUGAAAAUGAAGAACUUGCAAUCUUCAAGGUGAAAGCUGAACCUACUUUGCAAUCUUCAUGCAUAUUCAUUUUGUGUAUACAUCUCACCCUUGCAGCUUUAAGAUAAGUAAUAUUUUUCAUUAGUGAAUAUAAGAUAAGCAGCAUAAAGUAACUUUGUUAUUAGAAAGUAAAAUUAAGUUUUUUGGAUGGUCACCGAACUUAUAAAUUCAGUAUGCCAUUUGCCAUUAACCCUUAAAAGUUUUUCGGAUGGUCAUUGAACUUAUCAAAUUGUUAUUCCAUCUAUCACUCAAUAAUGCAUCGUUAAAAAUUUAGAGAUAUGUGAAGUUCUUAAUUAAAAACAUAUUUAACUUUAUUCGAGAAAAGACACUUAAAUAAUUUAAGGACCAAUAAAAUGAGUAUUGUUAAUUAAGUGAUUAUUCGAAUUAAAGUAUACUAGUGUUAUUGAAUUCGGAAACCUAGUGUCUUUUUCAUAUACAAAUCUUUGUCCAAAGUUUCAAAGUAACCUUUAGCUUAAUUUACUUAGGGUUUGUUUGAUUGUAAAAAUGGAAUUUAGAUGGAAAGAAAACGAAUUUCAGGAAAUUAAAUUGUUUAGAACUUGUUUUAUCGAGAAUUGUUAAUUAAAUGUGUUUGAUUAGUAUAAUUUUCUACUUGUAAAAUGUUGAAGUGUUAGAUUUUUUGAUGUUCAUUUGACUUUGUUUUUCAUGAAAAUUGUUAAUUAAAGGGAUAAAUUUUUUUAUAAUUGAGGAUAAAAUUUGUAUAUAUAUAUAUUAAAAAAAAUAAAGCUGACAAUUCAAGGAAAAAUGUCACAUGUGGGGCGUGGGGAGAAUGAAUUCCAUGGAAAAUUGUUACAAUCAAACAACCCACAAGAUGGAACCAUGGAAAAUUUUCGAAAUCAAACGGAUCCUUAGAUUUUAGUUAACAGGAAAUUUAAAUAGAAAUUUAUAUAAAUUCAAUUAAGACUACAGUUAAUUGAAAAAAAAAAUAUAUUGAUUACACACAAUUAUUUAUUGACUUGUCCAAGGUCUUAUUCCAAGGAAAUAAAACUUAUAAAAGUGUGAAAAAAAUAAAAAGAAAAGUUAAUAAUUUGAGCGGCCCAAGCCGCAGAAACUGCACAGCGACAUUUAAAAUGUUGAACUUGACUUCCACAAUCGUAACAGAAAUUAAUGCCGCACCUGCACUCAACAUGAAAGCAAAUUUAAAUUACGCCUCUGAAAAAAAGGCAAUGAACAAAUAGCAAUCCUCAUAAUCCAAAAUUGAACCUUGCAGAAGUUAUUUACAAAUUUCCCAGUUAAUCUAAGAAAAAGAAGCAAGCAAGCAAGUUCCAACCUUUACCUGGUCCCUCACUAUUCAUCCAUCAAGGGAUUUUUCGACGAAGUUUAUGAUAAAAGCUUUAGUAGAAUUUGAUAUAAUUUGACGAAAUAUUUCGUCGAAAAUUGAUCAAAAUUGUGGAUCUCAUGACUGUGUGAUUAAAAUUAAUUUUUAACUUUAAUCUCAGCCUUUUAAGCCAUACCGACCUUUUCACAAGAAUUAUGCUAUCUAUGAUUGAUAUUUUGGGCAUGCUUGGGAGUUUUAUUUAAAGGUUUUGACCGCUUAUGAGAUGUUGAGAAAAUCGAUGUUUCUAAGUUUUUUAAGAUUUUGGGUGGUUUAAUUUAUAAGCUGGAUGUAUUUCUAAACCCCCAAAUCGGUGAUUUCUGAAACCAUGUAUUUUGUUGAAAACUAACUUCUGUGUAAAACAUAAUAAAUAAAAGAAUUAUUUAUAAGCGAAAAAUCACUUUCUAACUAAAAGUUUAAUCGUGAGAUAUAAAUCAAUUUUGUGUAAGAUUGCUUCUAAAUUAAAAAAUGCAACUAAUAAGAAGAGAAUUCACUAAUUAACUCUCAAGUAUGUGUCGAACUGUUUUAAAAUCUGCUAGUGGAAACCUUCAAAAAUUGAACCAAUCAUAAACGUCUAAAAUCGAUACCUAGAAAAUCCCAAUAAUGGGUACCCAAAUCUCUCCUUAAACUAGGGACCAUCAACCGUAUAGAAAAAUGAACUUACUCUUUCACGAACACAUAUCAUGCAUUUAUACCAAACCAAUCAAGAAAAACACAAAAAGAAUUCAAGAUUUCACCUGCAGUUGAUGUCUCGACAGCCCUCAAUGCGGUCCACAAAAUGUCCGCACCCGGGGCAACUCAUCCACUUCUCCUUCUCCGCAAGCAUUCCAAAAGCAAUAUCAUUCUCGUCCCUCAAUUCCCAACUCUGUUCACACCUAAACCCGCUAUGCCAAACCAUCUGACAUUGAAAGCAAAACCAAUUCUUACAACUUGGACACCGCGACUUCUUCACAUUCCCACCACACUCAUUCAAGAUCAGAGCAUUGCAAUUCCUUUGAGGACAAUAACUCUUAUUCACUUCCAGAAUCGUCGAUUCACAUAGCACAUCGCACCACUUCACAAAAAGCGAUAAACCGAUCAUCGACCGGCACGAAACUGGGUCCAAUAACUGGUUGCAAUUCAUAUCCGGGCAUUUGAUGUAUCCCACGUUAUCAUCCUCGACCUUCACUUUGAUGUAUUUGAUAAUGCAAUCAGUACAAUAGGGAUGUCUGCAUUUGUUCUUGUUCUUGAAUUUUUGGUCGUGUAAUAUCAUCGUCUCCAUGCAGAUUUCGCAAGUGAAUGCUUGAUUUUCGUCUUCUUGUUGGUCGUGCUUUGAAUCAUGGGGGAUUGUGUCUUCCAUUGUUUUUCCUUUUUCCCCUUUAAGAAAAUUAGUUCUUUUAAAAGUGCAGCAAAAAACUAAAGAAUCACUGAAUUUAUCAUAAAAGAUGAUGCUACAUAUAUAUCAGAAUGCUCAUAACGGUAUGCAUCUUUCAUAAGGAGGGACCCACUUCGAAUAAAAUAUAAUUUAUCAGAAGUGAGUUCCCAUCCACAUGAGGAUGUGGACAUCAUUAUAAACAUCAUAUUAUGUACAAAUAACAUAUUCCUCGUUGCAAUCUUAAUAUUAAAUUAGAGUUGUUACCUCGGUAUAGUUUGCAAAUUAAUUCCGUCAGCAUCUUGAAUGAUCUAGCGAUUUAUUAUCGAACACGACAACAGGAUAUAUGUUUGCACCUUGAUUAGGUUACGAGUAUUUGGAUCACGAAAAAACACAAUAAUCAGAGGGAAAAAAAAAAUUGUGAUUGACCUCUGGAAAAUAAAUUUGCACCUUUAAAAUUAGUAUUUAUAAAAGGCUGUGGUCUUUUAUUGAGUUCAAUUAGGAUUCUUAUCAUAGUCAAAUUCCGAUUUGGAAUCAUGGAGUCCUGUUAGGACUCUUCAAGACUUUUUUAAUAUUUCAGAACCUAAAAAUAAUUUCUUUAAUUGAAAUAAAUGUUUUGUUCAAUUAAUAAUAUAAUAUCUUUAUUUAUUUAUUAUCCCUUAUAAUUGGGCCUAAACGGCCACUAGUGUUUAUCGCUAAGCAUUGGAACCAAUCGACUGAUUAAGAGACGCAUUCGGUUGGAGAAUAUUACAGUGGGGUCCCUAACUCCCCCCCCCCCCCCCCCCCCCCCCACCCCCCCACCCCAUUUUUCCGGGAAACUGAUUUUAUUUUUAUCUAAACAAAAAAGAAAUAAAAAAGAAAACAGAAAAGUAAAAAAUAAAAAUAAAAGAAUAUACAAAAUACACCAGUCCUUAUAUUUUAUUUAUAUUUCCUUUUCCUUUUUCUUUAAUGAAACAAAAGCUAAAAGUUGUAUUUUUAUUAUAAAAAAAAAAAAAGGUUGAGUUUUUAAUUAGGCAAUUAUAUUUACAUCAAAAUCUUUAUUUUCUAUCACACAUUUUAGUUGGAAUAAAAAUUCUCAACCUUAGCUCAUGCUCAAACUUUAUUUGUUAUGUUCUUAUGUUCACCUUCAGUUAAUUAGUACUUGUCUUUGAUGAAGGUUUAUAUCCAAAUGUUUCAUGGGCGUGCUUUGAAACGAGGGGCAAGUAUUUAGUCGAAUUAUAUAUAUAUAUAUAUAGUAAUUCAUGAAAGAUGAAUUAUUUUGUUCAAUAAAUUAUGUUAAAUC